Molecule: non-coding RNA, 88 nt
Organism: Chelonoidis abingdonii (Abingdon island giant tortoise)
Lineage: Eukaryota; Metazoa; Chordata; Testudines; Testudinidae
Source: RefSeq, a predicted model, not a curated record
GUCUUGUUUAUAUUCUUAUGAAAUGGUAUUAGACUUUAAUAACAGCAACAACAGCUCCAUCCCAUCUCUACUAACUUCUCUUUUUCCC